GGUAAAAUGGCUGAGGUUAAGCUGUAAACUGUAAAUUUACGUACGAAAUGAUUAUUUCUUUUACCA
Molecule: transfer RNA, 66 nt
Filed under: Apriona swainsoni
Lineage: Eukaryota; Metazoa; Arthropoda; Insecta; Coleoptera; Cerambycidae
Also listed under: 2 other names
Description: tRNA-Tyr
Source: RNAcentral